AGUACAAUUGCUGGAUCACAUGGUAAGAGAAUGUUUAGAUUUGUAAGAAACUGCAAACUGAUUUCCAAUGUGGCUGUACCAUUUUGCAUUCCCACCAGCAAU
Molecule: microRNA precursor, 102 nt
Filed under: Marmota monax (woodchuck)
Lineage: Eukaryota; Metazoa; Chordata; Mammalia; Rodentia; Sciuridae
Source: RNAcentral